Molecule: ribosomal RNA, 506 nt
Filed under: uncultured bacterium
Lineage: Bacteria
Description: partial 16S ribosomal RNA
Rfam family: Bacterial small subunit ribosomal RNA
Source: RNAcentral
AUUGAACGCUGGCGGCAGGCCUAACACAUGCAAGUCGAACGGUAACAGGAAGAAGCUUGCUUCUUUGCUGACGAGUGGCGGACGGGUGAGUAAUGUCUGGGAAACUGCCUGAUGGAGGGGGAUAACUACUGGAAACGGUAGCUAAUACCGCAUAACGUCGCAAGACCAAAGAGGGGGACCGUCGGGCCUCUUGCCAUCGGAUGUGCCCAGAUGGGAUUAGCUAGUUGGUGGGGUAACGGCUCACCAAGGCGACGAUACCUAGCUGGUCUGAGAGGAUGACCAGCCACACUGGAACUGAGACACGGUCCAGACUCCUACGGGAGGCAGCAGUGGGGAAUAUUGCACAAUGGGCGCAAGCCUAAUGCAGCCGUGCCGCGUGUAUGAAGAAGGCCUUCGGGUUGUAAAGUACUUUCAGCGGGGAGGAAGGGAGUAAAGUUAAUACCUUUGCUCAUUGACGUUACCCGCAGAAGAAGCACCGGCUAACUCCGUGCCAGCCGCCGCUGUAA